This 395-nucleotide ribosomal RNA is filed under the name uncultured bacterium. Its description in RNAcentral is "partial 16S ribosomal RNA". It matches the Rfam family "Bacterial small subunit ribosomal RNA", at positions 338 to 730 of the family's 1533-position model. The record is from RNAcentral.
CCUACGGGUGGCAGCAGUGAGGAAUAUUGGUCAAUGGGCGCGAGCCUGAACCAGCCAAGUCGCGUGAAGGAUGACUGCCCUACGGGUUGUAAACUUCUUUUAUAAAGGAAUAAAGUGAGGCACGUGUGCCUUUUUGUAUGUACUUUAUGAAUAAGGAUCGGCUAACUCCAGGCCAGCAGCCGCGGUAAUACGGAGGAUCCGAGCGUUGUCCGGAGUGACUGGGCUUAAAGUGAACGUAGAUGGGUUGUUAAGUCAGUAGUGAAAGAUUGCGGCUCAACUGUAGAAUUGCAAUUGAUACUGGAAGACUAGAGUAUAAGUGAGGUAUGCAGAAUUCCUGGUGUAGCGGUGAAAUGCGUAGAUAUCACGAAGAACACCGAUUGCGAAGGCAGCAAACU